AACAGGAUUAGAUACCCUGGUAGUCCACGCCCUAAACGAUGUCGACUAGGUGUUCGGUGAGGAGACUCAUUGAGUACCGCAGCUAACGCGUGAAGUCGACCGCCUGGGGAGUACGGUCGCAAGAUUAAAACUCAAAGGAAUUGACGGGGACCCGCACAAGCGGUGGAUGAUGUGGAUUAAUUCGAUGCAACGCGAAAAACCUUACCUACCCUUGACAUGUACGGAACCCUGCUGAGAGGUGGGGGUGCUCGAAAGAGAGCCGUAACACAGGUGCUGCAUGGCUGUCGUCAGCUCGUGUCGUGAGAUGUUGGGUUAAGUCCCGCAACGAGCGCAACCCUUGUCAUUAGUUGCUACGCAAGAGCACUCUAAUGAGACUGCCGGCGACAAACCGGAGGAAGGUGGGGAUGACGUCAAGUCCUCAUGGCCCUUAUGGGUAGGGCUUCACACGUCAUACAAUGGUCGGUACAGAGGGUUGCCAAGCCGCGAGGUGGAGCCAAUCCCAGAAAGCCGAUCGUAGUCCGGAUCGCAGUCUGCAACUCGACUGCGUGAAGUCGGAAUCGCUAGUAAUCGCGGAUCAGCAUGCCGCGGUGAAUACGCUCCCGGGUCUUGUACACACCGCCCGUCACACCAUGGGAGUGGGUUUCACCAGAAGAGGCUAGCCUAACCGUAAGGGGGGCGGUCGCCACGGUGAGAUUCAUGACUGGGGUGAAGUCGUAACAAGGUAACC
This 727-nucleotide ribosomal RNA is filed under the name uncultured bacterium. RNAcentral describes it as "bacterial SSU rRNA". It matches the Rfam family "Bacterial small subunit ribosomal RNA", at positions 771 to 1501 of the family's 1533-position model. The record is from RNAcentral.